Pelobates cultripes (western spadefoot toad) is the source of this 214-nucleotide non-coding RNA. Lineage: Eukaryota; Metazoa; Chordata; Amphibia; Anura; Pelobatidae. The record is from the annotation of a GenBank genome assembly.
GCAUAUAUAAAUGAACAAAAUAAUGAAAAAAGGGAGAAUUGUAAAGAAUUCCGUGAACUUUAAAUUCAAGGCCAAAAUUGCGGAACUGGAAGCAAAGCUGAAAUGGAUAUUUUUUUUCUCCAUUUUAGGCUUAAAGGAGCAGUCAAUUCUUUUCUUUCGGUUUUCCUUUCUUUAUAACAUAUGUAUCUUAAAGGGACACAAUAGUCAUCAGAAC